Non-coding RNA from Ixodes scapularis (black-legged tick), 82 nucleotides. Lineage: Eukaryota; Metazoa; Arthropoda; Arachnida; Ixodida; Ixodidae. The record is from Rfam.
CCAGUCGUGGCGGAGUGGUUAGGGCGAUGGACUAGAAAUCUAUUGGGGUCUCCCCUCACAGGUUCGAAUCCUGUCGACUGCG